AUAAUGGGUCAGCGACUUAUAUUCUGUAGCAAGGUUAACCGAAUAGGGGAGCCGAAGGGAAACCGAGUCUUAACUGGGCGUUAAGUUGCAGGGUAUAGACCCGAAACCCGGUGAUCUAGCCAUGGGCAGGUUGAAGGUUGGGUAACACUAACUGGAGGACCGAACCGACUAAUGUUGAAAAAUUAGCGGAUGACUUGUGGCUGGGGGUGAAAGGCCAAUCAAACCGGGAGAUAGCUGGUUCUCCCCGAAAGCUAUUUAGGUAGCGCCUCGUGAAUUCAUCUCCGGGGGUAGAGCACUGUUUCGGCAAGGGGGUCAUCCCGACUUACCAACCCGAUGCAAACUGCGAAUACCGGAGAAUGUUAUCACGGGAGACACACGGCGGGUGCUAACGUCCGUCGUGAAGAGGGAAACAACCCAGACCGCCAGCUAAGGUCCCAAAGUCAUGGUUAAGUGGGAAACGAUGUGGGAAGGCCCAGACAGCCAGGAUGUUGGCUUAGAAGCAGCCAUCAUUUAAAGAAAGCGUAAUAGCUCACUGGUCGAGUCGGCCUGCGCGGAAGAUGUAACGGGGCUAAACCAUGCACCGAAGCUGCGGCAGCGACGCUUAUGCGUUGUUGGGUAGGGGAGCGUUCUGUAAGCCUGCGAAGGUGUGCUGUGAGGCAUGCUGGAGGUAUCAGAAGUGCGAAUGCUGACAUAAGUAACGAUAAAGCGGGUGAAAAGCCCGCUCGCCGGAAGACCAAGGGUUCCUGUCCAACGUUAAUCGGGGCAGGGUGAGUCGACCCCUAAGGCGAGGCCGAAAGGCGUAGUCGAUGGGAAACAGGUUAAUAUUCCUGUACUUGGUGUUACUGCGAAGGGGGGACGGAGAAGGCUAUGUUGGCCGGGCGACGGUUGUCCCGGUUUAAGCGUGUAGGCUGGUUUUCCAGGCAAAUCCGGAAAACUAAGGCUGAGGCG
This 948-nucleotide ribosomal RNA is filed under the name Escherichia coli. RNAcentral describes it as "partial 23S ribosomal RNA". It matches the Rfam family "Bacterial large subunit ribosomal RNA", at positions 612 to 1563 of the family's 2925-position model. Lineage: Bacteria; Pseudomonadati; Pseudomonadota; Gammaproteobacteria; Enterobacterales; Enterobacteriaceae. The record is from RNAcentral.